Syzygium oleosum is the source of this 304-nucleotide long non-coding RNA. RefSeq lists it as uncharacterized. The record is from RefSeq and is a predicted model, not a curated record. The transcript has 3 exons. Lineage: Eukaryota; Viridiplantae; Streptophyta; Magnoliopsida; Myrtales; Myrtaceae.
UUGCGGUCAUUGAAUAAGAGAAACCACUUCUCUCUCUCUCUCACUCCACUUCCUUCACCACUCUCUCUAUCCUUCUGUUUGCACACUUGUACGAGUUCAUUGACCCAAGAAAAGAACGGCUACUUGCUUUCUGAAGUCUUUGUGCUGGUAGUAGUCGAAGCAAAAGGUGAGGCCACAAAGCGCGUGCGGGUGGAGCGGAAGGAUCUUUCAUAAGGUUCAAGGUCACCGCCGUAUGUGGCAUUGCCUUCUGUGAUGCCGAUCCUUUCCAGCAUAUACAACAGAGAUUCAACUACUUCGUACAUUG